AAAAAAAAGAUAGAGAGAAAAAGAAACAAUUGCUUCCAUUACUAAAUCUUAUAACCCUAUACUAAGAGAUGCAGCUAAAGGUGCCAUUUUCCAUCAAAAUAGCUAUCUCAAAUGCAUUUCAUUGUUUUGGGUGGUAUUUUAAUGGAAGAAAAUGAAAGCCAAGACUAGUUUGAGCAGUGCUGUAGUAUACACUACAGCCAUGACUCAGUGUGAUUAGAUUUAACCAGGUUCAAUACUAGCUAUACAGUGUGCUGCAUCACAAACUUCAGAUUUUUCUCUAGAUUAAAAUUUUUUGAAUCUUGAUUUCUAGCCAAAAUUUGCAUCACCUUUUGUAAUUUCUAAUUAGGGUAGUGUGGGCCAAAACAAUGCAAUGGCUGAAGUCUCAUACAUAUACAGUACAAGGUCCAGUAACCUUGCCCAGGAAGGAAACACAGAGCAAACACUCAAGGGAAAAAAGAAUUAUUAUGUUAUCUAUAAACAGAAAAAAAAAAAAAAAAAAAAAAAACUUUCCUGGGAACAAGGUAUUUAAAGUUUUCAACUCAAUACGAGUUUAGAGCUAGAGUUCCAAACCUCAGGACAAUAAUCAAUUUAGCUACAGCUGUUACCAACAGCCAUUGUAAUGUUGAGACCAGAAGGUCAAAGGUCUACUACAAGAUUUACCACUUAUUAAGUCAUAGUUCUGUCCAUCCUCUGCUCAUGUUCAAGCUGUGAACAAUGAAAGGAUGUCUAUCUAAAGUCCUGACACUCAGUAUGGAUGUUUCAUAAAAUUCAGUAUGUUAAAAACACAUAUUGAUUGAUACCAUUCCAAUUUAAAAGAAUAAUUUGAUGGUAAAAGCCUUCACUUCAUAAAACUUGAAAGCUAUUUUAAAGGCAGGUGAAUAUGCUUGUGAAGAAAUUGCUCAGUAAAAUCCCCAAAAGAAAAGUAUGAGACCAUCUCGGAAUUAUUUAAUUGAGCAUUCACUGUCUAAUUAGAAUUAUGUAAUUUCAAAAAAAAAGGAUUGUGUGAUUUCAAUAAUGCUCAACAUUCAUGAAAUAAGCCCGAAUCCCUGUACUGUGGAAUCUCACAUUAAAAGAAGAAACAACAAAUGAUGGUAAAGAAGCAGAAUUAAAAGCAGCAACAGAUUUUAGAGUAUCUCAUACACCACUUUGCUUUCACGUUAAGAAGACAGACUAAAUAUGAACUAAAUGGGAUAGGCUCAUAUCAACCACAAAUGACAGGCUUCAGCUAUGUUGGCCUACACAAAGCUCAAUGGCCCUUUUUAGAAACACUAAAUUGGAACUUGUCUGAGAAACACUUGACUAAAGCCUCACUGAUCAUCCUCAAGUUGUAUAAAAGAGUACCCAGGAUUGUUUUUAUUUCCUCCAACCCUUCCUUUGGAGUUAGAUAAAAUUGAAGAACUCUUUUGAGUUACCUCUUGUCUUCCUACACACACACACACACACACACACACACACACACACCAUGAAUUAACAAAACUGACAAUAUUAGAAAACAAAGGGCAAUAAUCAGCUUUUCUACACAACAAACCUAAGCUUUGAAACUAAUCUUUAAAAAGAUUGUGUAAUUUUUCAAAAAUAUAAAUAGCUUGCGAGGUUUUUUUCUAAGUCAUAAGUAACACAUUAUGUAUUUUUAAAAAAAGGAAAAGAAAAUAAGAGUCAUCCAUUAUCACCCAAAAAAAAAUAACUACUAACAUAUUUUUGUGUACUUCAAUCUUCUUUGCAUGUCUGUAUAUAGUUAAAAAACAAAAUUCAGGGGUGCCUGGGUUGCUCAGUCAGCUAAGCGUCUGCCUUUGGCUCAGGUCAUGAUCCCAGAGUACUGAGGUCAAGCCCCAAGUCAGGCUCCCUGAUGAGCCCGCUUCACGCUCUCCCUCUGCCCCUCCCUGCAUGCCCUUCCCCCCACUUCAUGCUCUCUCUCACUUGUACUCUCUCACUUGUUCUCUCUCUUUAAGAAAUAAAUAAAAUCUUUUUUAAAAAUAUAUUUUUAGUUUUUGUCAAAUUGGGAUCCCACAGAAUAUAGUCUUGCAAACUUAAUAAUAUACUGUAAACAUUUUGGAUAUCAUUAAAUAUCCUACAAAUUAUUUUAGUAACUAAAU
RNAcentral lists this long non-coding RNA (2093 nucleotides) under Canis lupus familiaris (dog). RNAcentral's name for it is "lncRNA (ENSCAFG00000058413.1)". The record is from RNAcentral. Lineage: Eukaryota; Metazoa; Chordata; Mammalia; Carnivora; Canidae.